CUUAAGUAGGCCAACUCUUCAUUGACAAGUUUUUCUACUUGCUUCCGCCACCGUCACUCUCUCCCUCCACCAGACACGGCCAGUAACAAAAACGUACACGGCGCCCCCACGCCGACAUACCUUCUCAUCUUCCCUUGUUACCGGAGAAUUCUUUUCCUCCUUAAAUUUUCUUCUCUUCCCUCUACUUCCCUAAUUUCACUUUUUAUCUUCUAUACACGUAUAUAUACACCUUUUAUUUACAUUUUUACAAUAUUUUAUCUACUUCAUUUUUUUCAUUUUCGAUUUAUAUUUUUCUUCUUCAUCAUUAAUUUUCUGGGAUUUGCAUAUAAUUGUAAGUUAAUCGUAAAUGAAAAGGUAUCAUCCAAUUAUGAUUAGGGUGUUUUUAUUGAUUUGCAAAAUCCACUGGGUUCCGUUUCAUCAAUGGUAAUCAACGACGACAUGCAUCCGCCUCCAGCUCCACCGCCACCUUCCGAUCCAAAAAAUAAAAAUUCAAAUUCAAGGUCCGCCGUGACGCACAACGGGGCAACGGGCAACAACCACCACAAACGAAACCAACAUAGCCCCGAGCUACAGCAAGUGAAGAUUAAUGAUAUAGUGGGUAAUGGGAUUUGUGGGCUUCUGUAUAAAUGGGUUAAUUAUGGAAAAGGGUGGAGGCCUAGAUGGUUUGUUUUACAGGAUGGAGUGUUGAGUUACUACAAGGUCCAUGGUCCUGACAAGAUUGUGAUCAAUCAGGAGACUGAGAAGGGAUCGAGAGUGAUUGGAGAAGAGUGGAUUAAACGGAUUUUGCGGCAUCACCGGCACCAUCAUCAUAAGCAUGGUGGCAAUGGUGGUUCCUCUUCGAAAAGCCGGAAGCCCUUUGGCGAAGUCCAUCUAAAGGUUUCAACUAUUCAGGAAAGCCAUUCUGAUGAUAAGAGAUUCUCCAUUUUUACUGGAACAAAGAGGCUGCAUCUGAGGGCAGAGAGCAGAGAGGACCGAAUGGCAUGGAUGGAAGCAUUGCAGGUAGUUAAGGAUAUCUUCCCGAGAAUGUCCAACAGUGAAUUGAUGGCUCCAUUGGACAAUGUAGCUGUCUCAACAGAAAAGUUGAGGCAGCGUUUGUUGGAAGAACGCGUGAAUGAGUCUGCCAUCCAGGACAUCGAACAAAUCAUGAAGGAUGAGUUUGCAUCUCUGCAGAAUCAAUUGAUGUUGUUGAAGCAGAAGCAUUGGCUCCUCAUGGAGUCACUCCGACAGUUAGAGACAGAAAAGGUGGAUCUGGAGAAUACAGUUGUUGAUGAAAGCCAAAGACAGUUCAAAGAAGUUGGGUCAUCCACUGGAUCAACGCUAGACAAAUCAAGCGCGAGUCCAAGUGAAUCUGAAGAUGAUAAUGAAAGAGUUGAUGCACCAGAGGAAGAUACAGAUGAAGAAGACAAUACUUUCUUUGACACCAGGGAUUUUCUUUCAUCAAGCUCUUUUAAAAGCAAUGGGUCCGACCUCAGGACGUCAUCAUUUUCAUCUGAUGACAACGAUCUUUAUGCAUUUGAAGUUGAUGAUUGUAAUGAGAGCGCUGUUGUAUCUGCCAGAGCUAACUUCCCUCUUGUGAAGCGUCGGAAGAAAUUGCCAGACCCAGUUGAGAAAGAGAAAGGAGUGAGUUUAUGGUCAAUGAUCAAAGAUAAUAUUGGGAAGGACCUCACAAAAGUGUGUCUUCCUGUCUACUUUAAUGAGCCACUCUCUUCUCUUCAAAAGUGUUUUGAAGAUUUGGAAUAUUCAUAUCUGAUUGAUCGAGCUUAUGAAUGGGGAAAGAUGGGUAACAGCCUUAUGAGGAUUCUAAAUGUAGCUGCAUUUGCCGUAUCUGGAUAUGCUUCAACUGAAGGAAGAAUUUGCAAACCAUUUAAUCCUUUGUUAGGGGAGACUUAUGAAGCUGAUUAUCCCGAUAAAGGCCUUCGAUUUUUCUCAGAGAAGGUGAGUCAUCACCCAAUGAUUCUAGCAUGCCAUUGCGAAGGAACAGGCUGGAGAUUUUACGGUGAUAGCAAUUUAAAAAGCAAAUUUUGGGGGCGGUCUAUCCAGCUUGAUCCAGUUGGUAUUUUAACAAUUGAAUUUGAUGAUGGAGAAGUUUUCCGGUGGAGUAAGGUGACAACAUCUAUAUACAACCUGAUUCUUGGGAAACUAUAUUGCGAUCACUAUGGUUCAAUGCGGAUACAAGGAAAUGGUGAUUAUUCGUGUAGUCUAAAAUUCAAGGAGCGGUCUAUCAUGGACAGGAAUCCUCAUCAGGUAAAAGGAACAGUCCAGGAUAAGUCUGGAAAGACAGUAGCAACUUUAUUUGGAAAAUGGGAUGAGAGCAUGCAUUAUGUCAAUGGAGACUGCUUGUCAAAAGGGAAAGCUGAAUCUUUGUCAGAAGCUCAUUUGCUCUGGAAACGUAGCAGGCCUCCUAAAUUCCCUACGCGAUAUAAUUUGACACGCUUUGCCAUUACACUGAAUGAGCUCACUCCAGAGCUGAAGGAAAUGCUUCCCCCGACUGAUUCGAGACUGAGACCUGACCAGAGGUGCCUGGAGAAUGGGGAAUAUGAAAUGGCAAAUGCUGAGAAGUUGCGACUAGAACAGCGGCAGCGGGAGGCGCACAGGAUGCAAGAGAGAGGUUGGAAGCCACAGUGGUUUGCAAAGGACCAAAAGACUGAUAACUUUCGCUAUAUUGGCGGUUAUUGGGAAGCAAGAGAGCAGAGAAACUGGGAAUCAUGCCCUCAUAUUUUUGGUGAAAUAACCUCUGAUCAGACUUGAGAAAAUGCAUUCGUGCUGCACCUUGUAGAUGGAAGAACAAACGAACGAGAUAAGGAUAAUAACUACGUAUACUUUUGAAGAAAUUAUGGCUCAUCUUGCUGCAUCUCUUUCUAGGCCAAGAUGGAGGCACGGCAUUAAAAAUUACAGAAUGGGAUUAUAAACCUGGGUUGUUCCAAAGGUACGUGUUUUGGGUAACUGAAUGGAAUGGUACUGUGCGGGAUUGAAGAGGUGCGUGUUCAAAGGUCUCUUGAGUCAUUAUAUUGAAUAGCACGAGGCAAGAUUGAAAAGUAAUCGAGGUAUAUAACAAAAUUUCUCAAUUGUUCUGUCAGUAUAAUGUCUCGUCAUUUAAUCGAGAAAACAAUAGUCUAAUUAUUUUCUCUCAUUCGUUAAUACUCCACAAUGUACCUAAUCGAACAAAUCAUUAUUCAUUGACAGAACUUAGUGACAAACAUGUCUAAAUUAACUUGGGAUAUUUUAACGUAACUAUUUAAAAUUGCCUCA
RNA transcript from Olea europaea var. sylvestris, 3249 nucleotides. It is a transcript of the gene named oxysterol-binding protein-related protein 1C-like, with no coding region annotated. The transcript is spliced from 12 exons. The record is from RefSeq and is a predicted model, not a curated record. NCBI's taxonomy places the organism in Eukaryota, Viridiplantae, Streptophyta, Magnoliopsida, Lamiales, Oleaceae.